This is a long non-coding RNA of Elaeis guineensis (African oil palm), 6088 nucleotides long. RefSeq lists it as uncharacterized. Lineage: Eukaryota; Viridiplantae; Streptophyta; Magnoliopsida; Arecales; Arecaceae. The record is from RefSeq and is a predicted model, not a curated record.
CAUAGAAGCGAACCCAGUUCGCCCUACCGCUCCAUGUAUCCCUUCUCUCGCUCUCUCGAGGGCAUACGGUCGAACAUCUCCCGCGUGAGGAGAGCUCUGUAGUAAAGGGAGCCUCCCGCCUGAAGAGAGCUCAAUUAGGACGAGAGAAAGGAGACCAUCCAGCAUCGAUCCGAAGAGACCAUCAAGGUCAUCGCGCCCAGCAUCCGCAUCGCCAACCUCUCCUCCGAUGUCGCCCGCGCCCUCGGCCCCUACGUUGAGCACCGCCUCCACAAGAUCAUGCGGGUACAAUAGUGACCCUCUCUUAACCUCGAGGUGAUUCCCCUCGCGUUUGAUUCUUGGAAAGCUAAUGGUUUGCGGACUCUUCGUCUCGAUAGUGACCCUUUCUUAACCUCGAGGUGAUUCCCCUCGCGUUUGAUUCUCGGAAAGCUAAUGGUUUGCGGACUCUUCGUCUCGAGGGUUGCAAGAGGUGAUGCACCCCUCGAAGCGGACGGUCUUGACGGAAUGAUGCGGACCGCGCGCCCAGGUUGAGGAACGCUGAGGUGAGUUUCUCGCUAAUGCGAAUAGCUUGAUUUUUCCCAAAAAAUUGGAACUUUUGGGAUUUUAAAUGGGUUUAUUAUAGGGAUUUUAACGAAUCGUAUGUUUAUAAGCUUAAACGAUGAAAGGGAAAAAAAGUUCGUAGCUUUUUCAUUGGAUUAAUGGAAUAAAACGGUGAGUUGAAGAAGGGAAUGCCUUUCUUCGAUCGAGGAAAAUUGGAGCAGGAGGAGCCUCUGAAGUUCCCCAAGUGGAGUACCAACGAUUUGCUUCUCCACGUGAAGAACAACUGGCUCGAGUUCUCUCGUCCCUCGACCCCAGCACCAUCUGCAUCCAGAUAAGCGUGGAGGAUUUGGAAAGACAAGCAUCAUUGUGGACAAAUACGAAUAGUAGCAGGUUACUGCCAGAUUAUAAAAUCAGGAAAACUAGGUGGUGGUGUUGGUGGUGGAGGGGCACUACCAAGGCACGAGAAUGAAAGGAGGAUAUGGACGUAUCAUAUUUGCAGGUACUCUUCCAUCGAAUUAGCAAUUUUCAAAGUUUAUAUUUUAAGACAACACUUUCAAUAACCAUAAUAGUAGCUUUAAGUAUCUUAACAAAUAGUUUUUGCUCUUAGAGAUCGCCUAGAGGAAAAAAAAAGAAAAAAGAAAACCUAGAUAACCAUGAUUUAGAUUUUAGAAACCACAUAUUAGCGGCUAGGAUUUCCCUUUUAAGGGAGGAUUUAGAACAUAGAGUGUGUAACAGGGAAUUUUAGUUAAAGAGCGAAAUAUACGGUUGAUAAUUUUCAUGUGUGCCAAUUCGAUUAGGUUUUGGUUCUUCAUAUUGUAUCUAUGUGUAGUCCAUAAAUUUCAAAUUUAUAUUGCUUGGGCUUAAUCAUUUUCUAACUUAUUAGAGUUUGCCAAGUUUUUUCCUCACAAAUAGUAAAACCUAUUCAAUAUAUUACAAAUUUUAUUUAGAUAUUAUCUUUUAUAUAAAAUUUAAUCCAUAUUUUAUUUUUUUAAUAAUUUUAUAUUUAUUUAUUUUCUCUUUUCUGCACUGCAUGGUUUUGUGCUUAUACAUCUUAACCAUAUACUCAAGUUCAUUUUCUAUUUGAGUAAAUUUAGGGCAUAUUUGACUGAGGGAGUUGGACUUUAGAAUGGAAACAAAAAUGAGUGAUUCCCAUUCUAGCCAUUUGAUUAGAGGGAGUCUUAUUUCUAUAUCGAUUCUUGAGGAGAAUGGAAAUGUAUGAAUCCCUAAAAAAUUAAUCUCUACUCUCUAAUAGUAUUCAAAUCCCAUUUGGAUUCUGAUUCUAAUUUUGAUUAUGAAAUCCGAUGUCAUCUCUCUAAUGUAUCCGAAUUAAAGGGGAUCUGAAUUCUCAAACUUUUUUUAGUCAUGAUCCUCUCUUAUUUAAAAUUUAAGAAAAGAUCUAAUCUUCAAAUCAUGAUGAUUUAUGUAUUGCACAAUGAUUGAUGUUGCUGUUUAACUCUGGAGUUAAGGUCGAUAAGACCAAUGUGAAUAGCCUUAUCUCAAUGUGCUAUGCAGACUUAAAGAUGUAGUUGUUGCUACUCCAUGGUCGGCAGAUGAGCUUGAAAUAAAUUUUUCUUAUCAGAUUUUUCUGACGAGGGAUCCUUCAAUGCUUCAGUCAUUCAGAAUUCAAAGAAUAAUCAAAAGCAAAAAAAAGUUGAGAGCGAGUAUGAGUUAUCAAAUGACUUAUCUGAGGAUUUUUUGUUUGUCUUUAUUUAUAGAGGGAGUUCAAUAACUAUUAUUCAGAUGGAUGGGACGUGCAGUAAUUACAUAGCAAUGAUUAUAAUAGUGCUUAACUAAUCAAUACCCAUGUAAUCUCACAAUUGCAACCACUUUAAACAUGCGAUGAUGGUUGUAUGGGUGUAAUUGUCAUCGAUAUUUCCGGGCCGACUUGAUCAUGUUUUCAGAUUAUCCAUAUCCGAGGUACAUGAGGUCGGACAGUGUGGAGGUGGAUCUAAUUUGACUAUUGCCAUUGAAUAGAAUUUGAAUACUAUAGAAAAGUAGGAUUUUUUUGGGGGAUUGGAGCAUUUCUAUCUCCCUAGGAAUCCGAAUGAGAAUAUGGCUUCCCUUAAUCAAAUGGCUGGAAUGGGAGUCAAUCAUUUUCAUUCAUGAAUCUAACUCCCCCAACAAAACAUGCCCUUAUUUGGAUUCAAAAAUUGGUAUGGAUGGAUAUUAUUUUGUUUAGUCUCACCCUUAAUCUUAACUAUUCUUCUAAUUUCAUCGCAUGCUAUCUACUUCUCUAUGUUUUUGUUCCCCCAAAUCAAUUAUAAAUAUCGAAAAUGAUCACUUUUAGGAAUUUUAUGAUCAUCUAGUUUCGCUCCCUCUCUCUAUUUUUAGUUUUACUAAAGGUACAUUGCGUGUCUUUCGUCUUAGUCUUACUUAAUUUGAAAUCCUUUCAUUUUAGUGCUCUUCUGCAUAAUUUUAAUUUAUGAUUAACUCCAAUCUUAGUUUUAUUUAUUAAGAUUAUAUCAUUUGUAAAUAGUACACAACAAGAAAUAUCAUCGUGUAUAUUUUAAAUAACUUCAUCCAUAAUUAGCACAAAAAGAUAAAAAUCUUGAGCAAAUUUUUAGUAUAAAUCUAUUAUGAUUGGAUAUUCAGUGGUAUCAUCGCAGAUACUUUUUACACUAGUAACUGCUUGCUUACAUUAAUAUAACCAUUAGAAACUCAUAUCUUUGUUAUUACACACCAUAAGGCAUCUCUAGAAACUUUAUGAUAUGCUUUCUAUAUCAAUCUUUAAAUGAGAAAAAUAGUUUCCAUAGUCAGCCUUCUUAGCAUAAAACCAUGCUUGAUUUUUAAAUUAGUCCUCCGAUAUCUUUAUUUUACACCUUAAUCACCAUGCUUGAUCUCCCUCUUCCCUAGUUGUAUGGUACAAUUCAUAAGUUUAAUGCUAUGAUAGGUAGAAUAAUUUUAAAUAUUAUCUUUAUUCUUGUAAAUUGGUACUAUGGUGCUUUCCUUCAUUCAGUGAUCAUUUUUCUACUUUUAAUUUUUUUAUUAGAUGAAUUAAUUGACUAAGUUAUUUCCACAUCAACUAAUCUUUUCUUUUUCUUUUGCUAACCUUUUCUCGUUUUUUGUGUGCAUAACCUUGUUCUACCUUUGAUCCUCUUAAUGUAUAUUUAAGAUUUUUAUUCUCUUUUUGAAUUUAUCCUUAGUUAGUGUUACUUUUAUAUUUUUUAUGAAUAAUUUUAUAUUUAUUCUAUCUUUUCUUAUAUUAUCAUACAUCUAUUUUAACAUUCUCAUUUCAAUUAUGUUCAUUUUGUGCACAUUUUAUUUUUUAAUUAGUCAAAAUUUUAUACUAUGAAGCGUAGCUGGUCACAUUACUGUCAUAUAAAGUUUUCUCUUUGUUUUAGUGCAUAUCCUUUGAUCACAUGUUAUUCUGAUGGUACUUCUUUAUUUUAGUUUCCAUACUUUAUUUCUAUUAAUAACAUGCACUUCAAUCUCAUUUUUUUAUAAAAAUUGAUCAUAUAUACUAAAAAUGAUCACAUUAAGAAACUUUAUGAUCCUUAACUUUUAUUCUAUUUUCACUUUUAUUUUUAAUUUUACUAAAACUACAUUGCACGUUUUCUGUCUUAGUCCUACUCAGUACAAAAUUCUUUGAUUCUUCCAUAAUUUCACUUUACAAUUCAACUUUAGAUUAUCCACUAAAAUUAUAUCAUUGAUGAAUAGCAUGCGGUAAGGAAUAUUGUCUUGAAUAUACCCAGUAAAAAGGGAAGGAUUUUGAGUAUUUUUUUUUUUAUACAAAUGUAUUAUGAUUGGAUAACUCACACUAGUAACUAUUUAGUUACAUUAAUAUAAUUACGAUAAAAUCCUUUCUUUUCUGUGACUUACCAUGAGACUUCUCUGGAAACUUCAUAAUAUCAUUUCUCUAAAUCAAUAAAAAUUAUAUAAAAAUCUUAUUUUUUUUCUCUAUAUUUUUUUAUCAAACUUCAAAGGAGAAAAAUAGUUUCUAUAUUUGAUCUUUUUGGCAUAAAACUGAAUUGAUUCUUUGAUAUCUUUGUGUUCCCACUCAGCUUCUUCUAAAAUUCUAUGGUAUAGCUUAUGGGUUUAAUAAUAUGAUGAUUAGAAUAAUUUUGAACAUCAUUUUUUAGAUAGGUACUAUAAUGCUCUCCUUAAUUUGUUGGAUAUUUUGUUGAUUUUUAAAAUUUUAUUGAAUAAAUUAGUUAAUUAAGUUGGGUUUUUUUAUUGGGUGCAUAGACUUUUCCUUUUUUUUGUUUUUUUUUUAAAUCUUACAUAUUUUGUACGUCUAUUUAAGAUUUCUAUUCUCAGUAGCAUCGGUGACAAAAUCUAAUUAUAUACUCCACCACCGUAAUGAUGAUAUGGCCUAUAUGUGGUACCCGCAAUGCAUAGUCCAUAGACGGUAGUCGCCGGCUGUGUCGGUGGCGUGGGUAGGAGAAAAUCUGGCAUGCACCAGGUCCAAGUGAACCAGGGGUGCAUGCAUUCCGGAGGCCGUAGGAAGGCCGCUACGCGGAAUGGUGUCAUCGGGCGAUGCAACGCGGUAGAACCCCGCCACGCGAAUCAGACGCGGAAAUAACACGAAAGGACCGGGGCACAAGUAUACGUGCGACGGAUAAGAUCCCAUCGCUCUAUGUAUUCGGUACUCCGCGUUCUAACCACCGCGGACAAGGCGGAUUAGCAUUUUGCUUCUUGUCAAAUAAAUUUCCCGUCGGGGUAAUCUCCUCUGCUGAACAUAUUCGAUUCCGUUCUCUUGCUACGGCUCCUGUUCCUCCGAGCGCCGGUACCAAUUCCCCCUUCCCCGAGCUGAAGAAUGCGAAGGCAAAUAUCGACGAUGGCGUGCCCUCCGAUUAUAUCUCUCCCCCUCGAGCAGUUGGUGACGCGAGGCUCGCCACCAGCGACCAUGCAGCGGCGGCGGCGGCGGCGGCGGCGGCGGCGGUGACGUAGAAGACAGAAAAAAAAAAGGGAGGAAAGAGGAUAAGUUAUAUCCAACAGCAUAUGCACCAAGUGACGGUGCAUCACCCCAAUCAGCCGCUUGUUUUAGUGGCGGUGUUCCUUGAUUAAGCCCAGCUGGACCAGCCAAAUCCCACGGUGAAUAACGCGCCACAUCAACUCUUGCUUGUCGCGAAUUCCCGAUUGCGCGUUAUCCACCGUGCACGUGCUCCGAGAUUUGCGCUGGUCUACUUGGGCGUGGUCUAGGCAAUAAUUUCUCCGAGAUUAAACGUUGGACGAUUAGGUCCUCGCGAUUGUGCUUGGUGUGGUCGCCCGUCGUAUGGUACACGAUUGUGGAAUAUGUAAAAUUAUUGGUUGGACUAGGUCCGUAAGUUCAGCCGUGGACCAGUCCAACAAAAAGUUAAGUUGCAUGAGUGCGGCAGGUCUUGAUCGCGUGUUUUUUUAAUGCUUGUUGGUCGAUCGCUUAGCUGGUGGAUUUGAUCCAACCAAUAAUCUCUCGUCAAGUAUAAUUUCUCCCGUAAGAAGGCUAGAUUCUCCGUUCACGUGUCCCGCUCAAGAGUCGCUCGUCCGACCUUCGCUUAUCAAUCCAGUGCUUUUACUUUUUGGGGAUGGACUGUUAGUCGCACCAGCGUUCGGACACCCAACGGCACGCCCA